AUCCAGCUGACUAGUCUCAAAUAGGACGAAAUGCGCAUCCUGGAU
This 45-nucleotide non-coding RNA is filed under the name Trichobilharzia regenti. Lineage: Eukaryota; Metazoa; Platyhelminthes; Trematoda; Strigeidida; Schistosomatidae. The record is from RNAcentral.